UGAACAAUCAAACUUAAGAAACUUGGUGGGCAAGCAAGUGAUGAGAUCAUGAUUUACUUGCACGGGUCUUGACGGCGGUGACUUGCGGCGACUAAGUCAAUGACGGCAUGUCUCUCCGGUGGGCUGCAACAACCCAACGUCAAGAGGUGGUGAUGGGACGGUGGCACCAAAGUCACGGUUGUGUGUCCGACGUGACGAGGUGGCUAGGACGACAAGCAAGACAGUGACCUCGAGGCAAUGAUUCCAUCCUUUGAUCAACAUCAAUAUCAACAUCAAGAGAAGAAUAAAAUGGAGAGAAGGGAACAUGGAGAUCAUGAAUUAGGAAGAAGAAGAAGAAGGUGGUGUGGAGAAGAGUGCUGGCGGCUCACGUUUAGGAAGAAUAAGACAAUUAUAUAGUUAGGUAAAAUAAUUGGUUUACUAAGGGUUUUGUUCAAGAAAUAAUUAAAACUAAACCAAACCAUUAUUUAUUAAAACCGGAUUAUCGGGUCACGGUCGUUACAAUUCUUCCCCACUUAACCGGAAUUCGCCCCGAAUUCCAUGAAGAACCGGGAAAGAACUUCAACGGCUAUGAAAGAAAGAAGAACACAAGAUAAAGCAAACAACAAAACAAAUUGAAACUUGGUAUUCUCUUGCAAAAAUAAAAGAGUUAGUAACGCUAACAACUAACCAAAUGAUACUGGACAAAAGGGUGUCACCUUUUUUUUUUUUUUUUUUUAACUCUCAAUCCCAAAACAUUGAAAAUUGUUGAAAUCCGAGUCCCAUAAAUCGCCAUCCCGGGUCAGAGCCGGGACGGAACUCCGCUCUGAUACCAAAUUGUAACACCCGUAUUUUCCAAAAUAAAAUAAACAAAUAAAAUUCUGAAAUCUCCAUUUAUUACUUCUCAAAAGUUCAACUCCAAAGUCGUAAAUCCAAUAAAUAGCCAUAAAUCCAAAUAACAUAAUAAAUCUCGAGAAUAUCGAUAAAAGCAUAAAAUCCGCAAGUUUGAAAAAGAAAGAAAUAAAACUCCCAAAGCACCAAUCCGAUAGUAAUCACUCCUGCCCGUCGGUCUCACCUGAAAGGGGGAAGAAAGAGGGGUGAGUAACAGGGGAGUUACUCCGUGAGGUAUGAGAUGCUAAACCACAAACCACUGACUCAGUACAUAGCACUACGACUAUGUAGGCCUAGCUCUAGCAUGAAACAAACACGGUGUCUAAUACACCACAUAAAACAUCAAAUGCGCUGAUAGUGCAUAACUAGAUCACACACCCCGCAUUCUCCUUAUACGGAUAUAAAUAUAUAACUCUAUGCGCCGCUAGUACAAGAGUCCAUCCUUGUACCCCGCAAUCACCUAUGCGCCGCUAGUACAAACGUCUUUGUACCCCGCAAUCCCUCAUACAAUGCGCCGCUAGCAUAGACGUCCAUAUGCCCCGCAAUCUCCAUACAAUGCGCCGCUAACACAAACGUCUCUGUGUCCCGCAAUCUCCACACAAUGCGCCGUUAGCACAACAUCUUUGUGCCCCGCAAUCUCAUAACAGACUUAUGUAUAUACAUAUAUAAAUAACAGUUUUUAAUUCAUUCAAUUCAAUCAACCGUUGAAUCCUCUAUUAUCCUAUUUUCGGUUUAACAAUCAAUAAUAGUAAUAAACAAACAAGACUCUCAAACAGACUCAAUUCACAGAGACGGAUCAUGUUUCGAAACUAAACUUUCCAUAAUAGUAGUACUAAACUAGCUCAGGAUUUAAUGGGAUAGCCCUCACCUUAGCCAAUAUCGGAGAACCGGAAACAUAAAAGAAACCAAUGAUUGGAAAGGCUUAGACCGGCUUCACCUUAGCGCAUAAAGGAAACGAUCGGAAAAAGAAACAAAAAGAGACAGUUAGGGCUAGGGUUUACAGUAACUUCCUGCUCAAGAAAUAAACAAAGUCACUUAAACCUUUACGCAUGGGUUCACGGCUCAUGACGUUGGCUCAGAAAUUGGUACAAGUGAACAAUCAAACUUAAGAAACUUGGUGGGCAAGCAAGUGAUGAGAUCAUGAUUUACUUGCACGGGUCUUGACGGCGGUGACUUGCGGCGACUAAGUCAAUGACGGCAUGUCUCUCCGGUGGGCUGCAACAACCCAACGUCAAGAGGUGGUGAUGGGACGGUGGCACCAAAGUCACGGUUGUGUGUCCGACGUGACGAGGUGGCUAGGACGACAAGCAAGACAGUGACCUCGAGGCAAUGAUUCCAUCCUUUGAUCAACAUCAAUAUCAACAUCAAGAGAAGAAUAAAAUGGAGAGAAGGGAACAUGGAGAUCAUGAAUUAGGAAGAAGAAGAAGAAGGUGGUGUGGAGAAGAGUGCUGGCGGCUCACGUUUAGGAAGAAUAAGACAAUUAUAUAGUUAGGUAAAAUAAUUGGUUUACUAAGGGUUUUGUUCAAGAAAUAAUUAAAACUAAACCAAACCAUUAUUUAUUAAAACCGGAUUAUCGGGUCACGGUCGUUACAAUUCUUCCCCACUUAACCGGAAUUCGCCCCGAAUUCCAUGAAGAACCGGGAAAGAACUUCAACGGCUAUGAAAGAAAGAAGAACACAAGAUAAAGCAAACAACAAAACAAAUUGAAACUUGGUAUUCUCUUGCAAAAAUAAAAGAGUUAGUAACGCUAACAACUAACCAAAUGAUACUGGACAAAAGGGUGUCACCUUUUUUUUUUUUUUUUUUUAACUCUCAAUCCCAAAACAUUGAAAAUUGUUGAAAUCCGAGUCCCAUAAAUCGCCAUCCCGGGUCAGAGCCGGGACGGAACCCCGCUCUGAUACCAAAUUGUAACACCCGUAUUUUCCAAAAUAAAAUAAACAAAUAAAAUUCUGAAAUCUCCAUUUAUUACUUCUCAAAAGUUCAACUCCAAAGUCGUAAAUCCAAUAAAUAGCCAUAAAUCCAAAUAACAUAAUAAAUCUCGAGAAUAUCGAUAAAAGCAUAAAAUCCGCAAGUUUGAAAAAGAAAGAAAUAAAACUCCCAAAGCACCAAUCCGAUAGUAAUCACUCCUGCCCGUCGGUCUCACCUGAAAGGGGGGAGAAAGAGGGGUGAGUAACAGGGGAGUUACUCCGUGAGGUAUGAGAUGCUAAACCACAAACCACUGACUCAGUACAUAGCACUACGACUAUGUAGGCCUAGCUCUAGCAUGAAACAAACACGGUGUCUAAUACACCACAUAAAACAUCAAAUGCGCUGAUAGUGCAUAACUAGAUCACACACCCCGCAUUCUCCUUAUACGGAUAUAAAUAUAUAACUCUAUGCGCCGCUAGUACAAGAGUCCAUCCUUGUACCCCGCAAUCACCUAUGCGCCGCUAGUACAAACGUCUUUGUACCCUGCAAUCCCUCAUACAAUGCGCCGCUAGCAUAGACGUCCAUAUGCCCCGCAAUCUCCAUACAAUGCGCCGCUAACACAAACGUCUCUGUGUCCCGCAAUCUCCACACAAUGCGCUGUUAGCACAACAUCUUUGUGCCCCGCAAUCUCAUAACAGACUUAUGUAUAUACAUAUAUAAAUAACAGUUUUUAAUUCAUUCAAUUCAAUCAACCGUUGAAUCCUCUAUUAUCCUAUUUCCGGUUUAACAAUCAAUAAUAGUAAUAAACAAACAAGACUCUCAAACAGACUCAAUUCACAGAGACGGAUCAUGUUUCGAAACUAAACUUUCCAUAAUAGUAGUACUAAACUAGCUCAGGAUUUAAUGGGAUAGCCCUCACCUUAGCCAAUAUCGGAGAACCGGAAACAUAAAAGAAACCAAUGAUUGGAAAGGCUUAGACCGGCUUCACCUUAGCGCAUAAAGGAAACGAUCGGAAAAAGAAACAAAAAGAGACAGUUAGGGCUAGGGUUUACAGUAACUUCCUGCUCAAGAAAUAAACAAAGUCACUUAAACCUUUACGCAUGGGUUCACGGCUCAUGACGUUGGCUCAGAAAUUGGUACAAGUGAACAAUCAAACUUAAGAAACUUGGUGGGCAAGCAAGUGAUGAGAUCAUGAUUUACUUGCACGGGUCUUGACGGCGGUGACUUGCGGCGACUAAGUCAAUGACGGCAUGUCUCUCCGGUGGGCUGCAACAACCCAACGUCAAGAGGUGGUGAUGGGACGGUGGCACCAAAGUCACGGUUGUGUGUCCGACGUGACGAGGUGGCUAGGACGACAAGCAAGACAGUGACCUCGAGGCAAUGAUUCCAUCCUUUGAUCAACAUCAAUAUCAACAUCAAGAGAAGAAUAAAAUGGAGAGAAGGGAACAUGGAGAUCAUGAAUUAGGAAGAAGAAGAAGAAGGUGGUGUGGAGAAGAGUGCUGGCGGC
This 4282-nucleotide long non-coding RNA is filed under the name Brassica rapa (field mustard). RNAcentral's name for it is "long non-coding RNA (BRAP_LNC002312)". Lineage: Eukaryota; Viridiplantae; Streptophyta; Magnoliopsida; Brassicales; Brassicaceae. The record is from RNAcentral.